RNAcentral lists this ribosomal RNA (232 nucleotides) under uncultured bacterium. Its description in RNAcentral is "partial 16S ribosomal RNA". It matches the Rfam family "Bacterial small subunit ribosomal RNA", at positions 104 to 334 of the family's 1533-position model. The record is from RNAcentral.
CGGGGUGAGUAACGCGUGGGUAACCUGCCUCACACAGGGGGAUAACAGUUGGAAACGGCUGCUAAUACCGCAUAAGCGCACAGUACCGCAUGGUACAGUGUGAAAAACUCCGGUGGUGUGAGAUGGACCCGCGUCUGAUUAGCUAGUUGGCAGGGUAACGGCCUACCAAGGCGACGAUCAGUAGCCGACCUGAGAGGGCGACCGGCCACAUUGGGACUGAGACACGGCCCAA